AGGAAAUGCUUUAGCGGUUGGCAUUGAGUUCAUCGGAAGGGGAAGGGAAGAUUGGCUUCGACGUCGUCGUCGUCGCUGUUCUUGAUUUCGUCCUUCUUCUUUUUCUUUUAAGAGGUAAGCUCAUGAGUUCAAAAGUCAUGUUUUUUGGGGGCCAAAGUUGUGAGCUGUUAGGGUUUCGUGUUCGAUUCCGAAGAUUUCUCAUGUUUCGUUGUUGAUGUUGGAGCUUCUUUUGCAAUUUCUCGAAGGAAACGUUUUGGAUUUUGUGGGUUUUGAUGCUUCAUUUAUCAAACUUAGUCUUUGUUCAAAGGACUUAUUGUCGACGGAGCAGUAGUUGAGUUCGUAGGUACAUGCUCAUGUCCUGCUGUAUGAUCUUUUCCCCCCUUAUUUAUUGAUUGGAUCUGAUGUCUGUUCUCUUUCUUUGAUGUUUAUAGCUUAAAGAAACGCCAUUCCGUUUGCUUUCAUGCUUCAUUUUCAAGAAACCUAGGGGGACGUGGACCGUCUCCACGGUUGUACUACUCGAUCACUUGCUUGCCGCUUUCCAGAUGCCUCAUUUGAUUCUUGUUGGAGUCUUCUAAUUUGAUGCUUGCCGUUUUCUUGCUGAUCACUAGCUAAUCAUCAAAGUGGACAUACGUUAUUCUCAACAUAUAAUUUGUUUUGUUUUGUUUUUUUUUUCUUUUGGAUUCAAAAUGUCAUAGGUUUCUUUAUCUGUAACAACAGAGGUGAGAUGGACUCUUUUUCUGUAGCGAUAAAAGUGAAAUUAAGAGCUUGCUUUGUUUGCCAGCUUGGCUUUUCAAACACCCCCAAACGACCUAAAGGUGAAAAGGUUGUGUACAGAUAAGAAGUGCUCAAAUGGCCAUACUCUAUGUUCUGGAUGCAAACCUUGAGUUCACAGUCGAUGCCCCACUUGCAGGCAUGAGCUAGGCAACAUAAGGUGUCUUGCAUUGGAGAAGGUUGCAUCUUCUCUUGAACUGCCUUGCAAGUACCAAACCUUUGGUUGUUUGGGUAUAUAUCCAUAGUACUGCAAACUAAAACAUGAAUCACAAUGCACAUUCAGACCCUACACUUGUCCAUACGCUGGAUCUGAGUGCACAGUUGCCGGUGACAUUCCUUAUGUGGUGACUCAUCUAAAAGAUGACACGAGGUUGAGAAUGCAACCUGGAUGCUGAUGGUUUUCAGUUGCUUUGGACAGUACUUCUGCCUUCACGUUGUGGCAUUUCAGCUAGGUAUGGCACUGGGGGAUGAUAAUGAAGCUAAAUGCUACAGCUAUGGCCUCGAGGUUGGAGGUUAAGGAAGAUAACAUAACAAGGAGUUCCCCGAAGUAUAAGAGACAGUCAUUGGAAGGUGAGAGACGGUUACGAUGGACUCAUUAUCCAGCUUGAAAUAUGGCUCUUUUUUCCUCUUUGCUCACUUCAUGGGCUGGAGUACUGAGUACCUCCCUAGUCUUUGGAUGAUUAUGAUUUUGUAGGUGUCAUUAUGCGUUAUUAGAAGCAAAUCCCUUUGCUCCAUUGAUGCUCAAACUUGUUUAAAAUGUACUAGCACAUCUUUGAGGCUAUAAAUGCUAUAUGCUAGACAAGCAAAUCUUCAUGUCCAAUGCAUAAUUCUAUAUAUUUCACUUCCCUCUUCUGUUUC
This is a long non-coding RNA of Musa acuminata AAA Group (dessert banana), 1629 nucleotides long. RefSeq lists it as uncharacterized. The record is from RefSeq and is a predicted model, not a curated record. Lineage: Eukaryota; Viridiplantae; Streptophyta; Magnoliopsida; Zingiberales; Musaceae. The transcript is spliced from 3 exons.